This 56-nucleotide transfer RNA is filed under the name Gnathostoma doloresi. RNAcentral's name for it is "tRNA-Cys". Lineage: Eukaryota; Metazoa; Nematoda; Chromadorea; Rhabditida; Gnathostomatidae. The record is from RNAcentral.
GGGAUUUUAUUAUAAGAGUGUAUAGUCGAUUGCAAAUUGGCAGGUUUUUAUCCUUG